This 637-nucleotide ribosomal RNA is filed under the name Heterosigma akashiwo. RNAcentral describes it as "partial Bacterial large subunit ribosomal RNA". It matches the Rfam family "Bacterial large subunit ribosomal RNA", at positions 638 to 1269 of the family's 2925-position model. The record is from RNAcentral. Lineage: Eukaryota; Raphidophyceae; Chattonellales; Chattonellaceae.
AUGCGAGCUUAAGCCGUUAGGUGUAGGCGAAGCGAAAGCGAGUCUGAAUAGGGCGCAUGAGUUAGAUGGAUCAGACCCGAAACCGAGUGAUCUAGGCAUGGCCAGGUUGAAGGUUGGGUAACACCAACUGGAGGACCGAACCCACAUCCGUUGAAAAGGAUCGGGAUGAGCUGUGCCUAGGGGUGAAAGGCCAAUCAAACUCGGAGAUAGCUGGUUCUCUGCGAAAUCUAUUUAGGUAGAGCGUCAAUUGAAUACCCCGGGGGGUAGAGCACUGGAUGGGUAAUGGGGCCCCACAGGCUUACUGAUCCUAACCAAACUCCGAAUACCCGGGAGUACUGAUUGGCAGACACACGGCGGAUGCUAACGUCCGUCGUGGAGAGGGAAACAACCCUGACCUCCAGCUAAGGCCCCCAAUUCAUGGCUAAGUGGGAAAGCAGGUGGGACGACCAAAACAACCAGGAGGUUGGCUUAGAAGCAGCCAUCCUUUAAAGAUAGCGUAACAGCUCACUGGUCUAAACAAGUUGUCCUGCGGCGAAGAUGUAACGGGGCUAAAGUAAUGCACCGAAGCUUAGGGUUCAGAAUUUAUUCUGAGCGGUAGCGGAGCGUUCCGUAAGCGGAUGAAGCCGAAGGGUAACCG